Molecule: non-coding RNA, 4890 nt
Organism: Physcomitrium patens
Lineage: Eukaryota; Viridiplantae; Streptophyta; Bryopsida; Funariales; Funariaceae
Source: RefSeq, a predicted model, not a curated record
GGCUUUGAUGACCACUGUUAUUUGUCAGCAGUGAGGUUUGAAUCCACGACCCCUUACGGAGAACUAAAGUUGAGUCUAAUGACCAAGACCUGAGAAGCCCCACAGGAGUAAGACUUCUCUUACUGCAAACGACGCCGUUACAAGUGUAUAGUGAUACGGUGAUAGGCCCUUCCCGGUCGGUGAUCUGGUGACCAUGUUCUCAACUGAGCUUGUUAAUCUAUUCUCUACUACGGCCUUCUGUGUUCUGAGUUGCCUACUUUUUCGCUGUAUUAUGCUCGUGUCUUUAUUAUUGGGGGUGUCUUGUGCCCAGGUUGAAGUAACCAAGGCCAUUGCUCAUCCAGCAAUUAUAGUCUUCGCCAAGCAUGUGCUGCGCUGUGGCAACGUAAACUUCCAAUGCGGCUUGACCAGCAGAUGUGCCUGGAAGCGAAUGAGCAAGCAACUUCUUGGAGCUCCAAAGCUGAGUAGUUGGAGUUUGUUAAUUCUCUGAUUCUUGCUUCUCUGUGGUAUAGUUCCCGAGAUUCUGCUUUCGUUAAUGUUGGUGAUCCUGCAAACUCAAGUGAGGUCUCCUUAUUCCUUAGUUCCUCCAUUUUGAACCUUAGGGUUUCGUCGAUAAACUCUCUUGUGCUGGGACUGGAUCUAUUGCUGAUCUGUGCUAUGUCUACUCCAUCCACGCAAAGAUCAAGGAGUUUGUUGUAGUGCUUCGGAUUGCAGUGUCGAGGGUUCUGUGACUCAGUUGGUGGGUGCUCUUCUGCUGCUGCAAUUCUAUGUGUUUAUGUUUCUGUUGUCCAUCUCCUGAAUGACAUCAGUGAAGAGCUUUUUGAUGGCCCCUUUUACAUUGACCUUAAGGUCGAUGUCAAUUUUCUCUGAGUUGACUGAAUCUCUGUCUUAUGCGUGGGAGGUUUGUGUUGGUAUCUGGAAAGACGUGGGUUGUCCUUGCGUGGCCAGUCUAAGGGGCAGAAAGGCCUCUAGAGGUAUUGGUUUCUAUUGAGGUUCCUCCGUACUUGUUGAAAAUACUUCUUUUAUUGUCCAAAUUUUGUUGAAUAUUCCUUUGAGCUCUGCUGCCUUCGUUGCUGAGUAUUUUUGCUUGGAGAGGUCUUGCCAUGCGGCCAUUCCGAUUUGUGUUGUUGUUCUCCAGUUUGUGUAGAGGACUUUUUCAAGACUGAAUGGAGUACCAUUCAGUACUUAAUUGCAUUUCUUCACCCAAAUGAUCCACAAGAAGGCCCCUCGAAGAAUCUCCCAAGCUGUGUUGUCAUUGACUACUGUGUUGCGGAUCCAAGCGAUUGUUUUUUCAAUUGUGGCAAGACUGGCUGUAUCAUGUAGUCCCAUGUUGACCGUGUUCUAGUCGAUGUAAUGCUUAUGUAUGCGUGCGGUUGUGCGCAGCUGGUUGAAUUGUGUCCAUGCCUCGGUGACUAUCAGACAUUUGAAGAGUGCGUGUUCGGCAGAUUCGGUUGCUGGAUCAUUGCAGAGCCUGCACAAAAGAUCCCAGUACUUUUAGGUCCCCACUUACAACUGUCUGAAUGACUAUUCUCCAUGCCACUUUAGCUUUAGUUGAUUUGCCUACUGUUGCUCCUCAGAGGUAGUUUCUGACCAUACCUCUUGUUGGUUGAAGACUGUUAUGGCUAUGGAUGAACAGGAGCAAAGGUACCAGAUUGAAGUAAGAAUCACCUAGUUGGCCGUUAGUAUCUUGCCUGCUAGUGAGAGAUUCCUACUGUUUCAAUGUGUUCGGCAAUUGUUGAUCUGUUGAAGGAACUUGUUACCUACCUCCUCUUCAGGCACUCUGAAUCCUAUCGAAAAUCCUAAAUACCUUGUGCUUUUGCCCUCCUCUAGCCAUUUCAUUUCUAGGUUAGCCUGCCAUUCCCAUGUUCGAGAGUGUCUUGCUGCCCAAAUCCCAAUGGAUUUAUCCCAAUUGAUUUUGGCCCCACUGGCUUCACAGAAUGUGUGUAGGAUGUUUAUAGCUAAGUUGAGAUUCAAUUCUGUGCCUUCUAGGUGAAGAACAAAGUCAUCUGCAAACAUCUGAUUUGUAGUUUUUGUUGAGUCCAGUAAUGUAAAAUCCUUGAGCUCAUUGUUGAGGUCAUCUAACAUACUGUCUAGUAUUUCCCCCACCAGAAGAUAUAAGUAGGGAGCCAGUGAACAUCCUUUACGGACGGGUCUUUGUAGUUUGAAAGUAGUGCCUUCUUGUCCAUUAAGUGAUACACUAGCAUUGGCUUGGGAAUACAAUGCUACUACCAUCCCGAUGUAUUAUGCAGUGAAUCCCAAGGCACUCAUGGCUUGUUCCAAGAACUUCUAAGACACUUGGUCAUAGGCCUCCUCAAAGUCAAGGAGUAGUAGGAUCAGGUUCUGACUACUAGCUUCAGCCCAGUCCAUUGUCCCGAAAGCCAUGUAGAUAUUAUCAAAAAUACAGCGUCCUCUUACAAAUACGGUUUGGGAUUUUUAAUCCAGUCUGGAAACAAGGGUAUCAUUCUGUUUGCAAAGAACUUAGCUAGGAUCUUGUUAACAGAACCAAGGAGAGAGAUGGAUCUAUAAUUGGUUAUCUGUGUUAAGUCUCCAGAUAUUGGGAGUAGGCAGAUUUUACUUGCGUUCAAUAAUUGGCAUUGUGUACAGGUUUGCAUGAGUUUGGAGAGGAGUGCGAGGAGGUCUUGUUUGAUGUCAUCGAAUAAUUCUUUGAAAAAUUCCAUUGGAACUCCGUCCGCCCCUGCUGCCUUGCCUGCUGGGAGAUCUUUUACUGCAGUGCAAAGCUCCUGGAGAGUGGGAGGUUCUGUGAGUUUCGCAUUUUGAAUUUGAGAGUGCAAUCUUAUCUUCCCAGUUGUCCUAGAGCUGUACUUCGGCCGUGUACACCUCUUCGAAACUUAGUUCGAAUUCCUCAAACCAUUUGGUUUUUUGUCUUUUACCCUCGGCGUCACUUUCUCUUUUGACUGCGACGACUGCUGCUGUGAUUCGGGAGUUCCAAGUCUGGAGUGCUCUAUCACAUAUUGGCUGGAGGAUGUCUGCGAUUGUCCCAGGUGAAGUGCUUUUGUGUAAGUUUACAGAAAGAGUCAGCAAGGAUGCUGUCUUGGAGCCCUAGGAGGACUUCACUGAAGUUGGAGAGGACGUCCGUAAGAUACGCUUUGGUCCUCAGGCGGUGGGAAAGGCCAAUAACCUGGGCCCAAAGGGCGGUUUUUGUACUCUUGUUAUCUAUCUGGUUAUCUGUGCCGAAGUAGGGUGUCCAGGAGGAGACUCGAAUCUCUUGGGUCUCUAGCAUAAAGGAUUGUUCAGAGAUUGUUAGGUUCCUACCUUCUUUAUGUGCAAACUCCAGUUCAAAAUAAUUGUUUGCUCUCAUUGAGAGGGCUACGAAGGAUGUGUGUAGUUUCUGACAAGCCCAGAGUGUAAAUUUUUGAACACCUGGAUUCUUUCCUAAUAUCUGUCCUAGCACCAUGACGUCCUCCGCUUGGGAUAAAAGGUUUCUGUGGUUUUCUAGUUUGUCUGCAUUCAAGGUAACUCUGAAUGUGGAUUCUUCUUCUAUAGGUUGUGAGGUAACUGCUCCUUUUCCUGUAUCUAUGUCGUCGAGAGGGUGUUUUACUGGGGAGGGUUAGGUAAUGGUCUCUCUAGUCUUACUGGUGUCUCCAGUUCCAAAGGUUGCCCCACCUCUGGUAUUGUCUUUGGUGCUAGAGUGUCUAGCGAUUCUGAGUAGGCCAGUUUUGCUCGAUCUCCUGGUGUAUCUGAGGGUUUUGUGGUGGGUUGUUCCUGAUCUAGGAAUCGCACCAGUCUUGGAAAAAUCCUUCGUAGAAGAUCCUGGAGGUCCUCAAGUUCUGUAGUUGAGUGGGUAAGACCAAUGUUGGGGUAUUGCUGGAUUAGGUGAUUGCCUUGUGCUCGCUUCUCUUGUAUCUGUUUCUUGAGUAGUAAAAAUAUCUCUUUGUCGAUGUAGCUCUAUGUGGAGUGCAGGCUGAUGUUGCGGCUGAACGUCUCGUAUGGAGAGUUCGUUGCUUUGUCUGGAGGUUUAGUUUGUUGUAAAUCAUGAGUCGUGGUAGGGGUACUUACCUGAUCAAUUGGUGGAGCUGUUUGUUGAGAGGAUGAAACCAGAAUUCGUCAGCAUCAUUGUGCGUUUUGGCUCUGCUCCUAUUUAUCACUCGUCUCCUUGUCUGUGGAAUUGAAUCUCCUCGUAGCUGUGAGUUCUUGCGACUGCGCGUGUAGUAUCCUUCCCCUAGUCCUUCCGCUGGUGUUCCUGGGAUAUCUAGCACACUAGUUGAUCCUGCUUUAGUUGGAGGCGCUACAUCCUUGCCUCCUCUCUGUGCUCCGAACUGGUCAGCUGUCGAAAUAUACGCCAUUCUAUUGCGAAUAGAUUCUAUCUCUAUGCAAAUCGCUCUCCUAGAGUUUGCAAUUGCAAUGCUGAUAAAUGCGCUUGAGUAUGAUCCGGAUCUAGGACGAGAGUGUGACUCCGCGAUUCACGGAGCUCCCCGGCACCCCCCGUCAGUCCCGCUACCAUUGCGCCACGGAUCGCUGGUGCCUUAGACCACUCGUCUAUGCUCACAUGGAAUCAUUUUUUCUAUAGCGUUCAAAUAAUCUCAAGUAAUAUUCCUUGACAGAAGCUUGCUCUACCUCCACCGUGGAGUUAGAAUUGCCUGCAAUGACCCGUCGUAGCUUUUUUUAAUUUUUUCAUUGCGGUGAUGUGGCACUUCGGCUUCAAAAUGAUGCCGCGCUCACUCCACUUCCCACUGACUCUUCCCUGCAGUGUACACAAACAAAGCACACAUAGAAAGUCUACUGUUUUGCAUCUUGAGAACCCUCCUUUACCUUAGAUUUCAAUGACUACCUUCAUCGUUCUUUGACUGCUCAUAUUUGCAAGUUAGAGGGUUCACAUAACUUGUGUUUUUUCGUGACAUGCCAAAUGAUUAAUAAAUUUCGUGCUUUCACUGA